AGGACGAACGCUGGCGGCGUGCUUAACACAUGCAAGUCGAGCGGUAAGGCCCUUUCGGGGGUACACGAGCGGCGAACGGGUGAGUAACACGUGGGUGACCUGCCCUUAGCUCUGGGAUAAGCCUGGGAAACUGGGUCUAAUACCGGAUAUGACCUCGCGAUGCAUGUCGUGGGGUGGAAAGCCUUGUGCGGCUAGGGAUGGGCCCGCGGCCUAUCAGCUUGUUGGUGGGGUGAUGGCCUACCAAGGCGACGACGGGUAGCCGGCCUGAGAGGGCGACCGGCCACACUGGGACUGAGACACGGCCCAGACUCCUACGGGAGGCAGCAGUGGGGAAUCUUGCGCAAUGGGCGAAAGCCUGACGCAGCGACGCCGCGUGAGGGAUGACGGCCUUCGGGUUGUAACCUCUUUCAGCCCUGACGAAGCGAAAGUGACGGUAGGGCGAGAAGAAGCACCGGCCAACUACGCGCCAGCAGCCGC
RNAcentral lists this ribosomal RNA (477 nucleotides) under uncultured bacterium. RNAcentral's name for it is "SSU rRNA". It matches the Rfam family "Bacterial small subunit ribosomal RNA", at positions 26 to 518 of the family's 1533-position model. The record is from RNAcentral.